UACGUAGGGGGCAAGCGUUGUCCGGAUUCAUUGGGCGUAAAGAGCGUGUAGGCGGCUAGGUAGGUCGGUUGUGAAAACUGGAGGCUCAACCUUCAGAGGUCGACCGAAACCAUCUGGCUAGAGUCCGGGAGAGGAGAGUGGAAUUCCUGGUGUAGCGGUGAAAUGCGCAGAUAUCAGGAAGAACACCCGUGGCGAAAGCGGCUCUCUGGAACGGUACUGACGCUGAGACGCGAAAGCGUGGGGAGCAAACAGG
RNAcentral lists this ribosomal RNA (253 nucleotides) under uncultured bacterium. Its description in RNAcentral is "partial 16S ribosomal RNA". It matches the Rfam family "Bacterial small subunit ribosomal RNA", at positions 524 to 776 of the family's 1533-position model. The record is from RNAcentral.